Long non-coding RNA from Sapajus apella (tufted capuchin), 614 nucleotides. RefSeq lists it as uncharacterized. The transcript is spliced from 2 exons. The record is from RefSeq and is a predicted model, not a curated record. Lineage: Eukaryota; Metazoa; Chordata; Mammalia; Primates; Cebidae.
AGCAAGACUCUGUCUCAAAAAAAAAAAAGUAACUUUUCUUUUCCACAUUUCAUUCACCAUGUGAAAGGCUGUGGCCCUGGUGUUCCAGGAGCCCCUUGUCUGGAGCAGCUGCUGCUCAUGAACAGGCAGAUUCUCUGCACAGCAGCCCUCAUUUCUAGAGGGAAGCCUUGUCAUUGCUGUGAAGGAAAAUGUUUAAUGCUCAAACCAGGGGCAACUUAGUCUUUUCCAGAGUUGGCCUUUCUGAGAUACUGUAAUUAAAUUGAAGAGGGGAUAUGGAAAAGGAAAGUGCUAUAAAUUGAAUGACACAGUUACAGAAGACUUAGACCUAAAUGACGAGCCCUGGAGUGUGAAUGCUUUGGCAAAGAAAAUAGAGCAAAAGUUUAUGAUCAAGGUAAGGAUUUACAAACGGAUAGUUUCCGUUAGUUUUGGUUUUUAAUUUAGUUUUCUAUAAAACUGGAAGUAGGAUUCUUUAAAUUGAAAAUGGAAUGGACUUUAUUUUUUCUAGUACUGCUGCUCUAGCUGUAGAACCAUGAGUCGGUGGGGGAUGAAAUGAAUAUCAAAGAGAAACUAAUAAAGAAAGAAAUCUAACCUUAAAAGUAGUUUCAGAAGAAGUA